RNAcentral lists this ribosomal RNA (636 nucleotides) under uncultured bacterium. RNAcentral describes it as "bacterial SSU rRNA". It matches the Rfam family "Bacterial small subunit ribosomal RNA", at positions 69 to 682 of the family's 1533-position model. The record is from RNAcentral.
GUAAGGCCCCUUCGGGGGUACACGAGUGGCGCACGGGUGAGUAACGCGUGGGCAAUCUACCGUCGGGACCGGGACAACUCCGGGAAACUGGAGCUAAUACCGGAUGAGACCACGAGAACCUCGGUUCUUGCGGAAAAAGGGUGGCCUCUUCUUGAAAGCUACCGCCUGUCGAUGGGCCCGCGUCCCAUUAGCUUGUUGGUGAGGUAACGGCUCACCAAGGCGACGAUGGGUAGCUGGUCUGAGAGGAUGAUCAGCCACACUGGAACUGAGACACGGUCCAGACUCCUACGGGAGGCAGCAGUCGGGAAUUUUGGGCAAUGGGGGAAACCCUGACCCAGCAACGCCGCGUGAGGGAUGAAGGCCUUCGGGUCGUAAACCUCUGUCGGGAGGGAAGAAUGUCUCCGGGGUAAACAAUCCCGGAGGUUGACGGUACCUCCAAAGGAAGCGCCGGCUAACUCCGUGCCAGCAGCCGCGGUAAUACGGAGGGCGCAAGCGUUGUUCGGAAUCAUUGGGCGUAAAGCGCGUGUAGGCGGCUUGGCAAGUCGGGUGUGAAAUCCCGGGGCUCAACCCCGGAACUGCCUCGAAACUGCUUGGCUGGAGUCCCGGAGAGGAGAGCGGAAUUCCCGGUGUAGAGGU